Sinocyclocheilus rhinocerous is the source of this 251-nucleotide long non-coding RNA. RefSeq lists it as uncharacterized. NCBI's taxonomy places the organism in Eukaryota, Metazoa, Chordata, Actinopteri, Cypriniformes, Cyprinidae. The transcript has 3 exons. The record is from RefSeq and is a predicted model, not a curated record.
CAAAAGACCGGUUUCGCUGUCAGGAUUUGAAGCUGAUGUGUGCUGACAGUGAGCAGAGUCGUACGUGCUGGAUCACGGCCUUCAGAUUGUUUAAGCAUGGGAAACAGCUCCAGUGUAAUUACCAGCUCUCCCAGUCCAGCGCCAGACUUCACAAACCAUCACGACCAGACUCCAAGUAUACAGACCGGGAGGAGUCGAUGGUGGCCAUGGAUUUUUCAGGGAAGAGCGGUGGUCGAGUGAUUCAGAAUCCA